Molecule: ribosomal RNA, 971 nt
Filed under: Mansonella ozzardi
Lineage: Eukaryota; Metazoa; Nematoda; Chromadorea; Rhabditida; Onchocercidae
Description: 16S ribosomal RNA
Source: RNAcentral
UAAUUUUUUGUUUUUUUAUGAUUUGGUAUUGCAUACUAGUAAAAUAAUAUGUCAUAGUUUAUGAAAUAUAGAAAUAAGUUGUUUAAGAUUUGGAUUUUUUUUAUUUUUACAAAACUUAAAAUAUCCAGUUUGGUUAUUGAUAAAACGUAUUUUUAUUUCUGUUUAUUAUUUUAUAUUGUUUAAGUUGUAUUUAUAUUUUUUCAUUGUUUUUUGGUUUUUUUAUCAUUGUUGUUUUUUUAUUAUUUAGAUUUUUUGUGGUUGAAUUAUGUUUUUUUUUUAGAUUAAUUUUUUAAUCAUUUUAUAAUUUUUGCUUUAGUAAUUUUUCUUUUUUUAUUUCUAUCUUUAUUUUUUAAUUUUUGUUUUUGAACUUGAUUUGUUGUUAAAUGUUUAUUAAAAACUUAGGUUUUUUUUUAAAAUUGUCUUCUGCUCAAUGAUUUUUUUAAAUGGCAGCCUUAGCGUGAUGGCAUAAAAGUAGCGUAAGUGAUUUGUUUUUUUAGUGGUUUCAAGUAUGAAUGAAGUUUUUAACAAUUUUUUUAUUGUCUUUUUUUUUGAAUUAUUUUUUCUAUUAAAAAUUAUAGGUUUUGGUAUUACAAAGAUAAGUCUUCGGAAAUUUUUUUUAGGACUAUUACUUUUUAUUAUGUUUUAAAUUUUUCUUGGGGAUGGAUUUUAUAAAAUUUUUAUACUAUUUUUAUUUUUAUAAAUUACUCCGGAGUUAACAGGGUUGUGGACAUAUGAAUAGUUUUUAUAUUAAUAUGCUGCGCUACAUCGAUGUUGUAUAUUUUUUAGUAAGGGGGAGAGAAUUUUUUUAGUUUGAGACUGUUCUUCUUGUAUAAAAAUUGAACUUGAUAUUAGUUUAGUUCGUCGUGAGACAGAGCGGUUUAUCUUGUAUAUUUUUGUUUUUUAUUGGUUCUAGUACGAAAGGAAGGUAACGGAGGUUAAUAUUUAUGACUUUUGUGGAUUUAUGGAAUUUU